Molecule: ribosomal RNA, 717 nt
Filed under: Nanophyes sp. CG271
Lineage: Eukaryota; Metazoa; Arthropoda; Insecta; Coleoptera; Brentidae
Description: partial 16S ribosomal RNA
Rfam family: Bacterial large subunit ribosomal RNA
Source: RNAcentral
AGUAUAUAGUUAUAAAUGUUUAUUUUAUUUAAAUUAUAAGGUUAUUUAAAGGAACUCGGCAAAUUUAUUUUCCACCUGUUUAAUAAAAACAUGUCUUUUUGAUAAUAAUUUAAAGUCUAACCUGCCCAAUGAAAAAUUUAAUGGCCGCGGUAUUUUAACCGUGCAAAGGUAGCAUAAUCAUUAGUUUUUUAAUUGAAAGCUUGUAUGAAUGGUUGAAUGAGAAAAAUACUGUCUCUAAAUAAUUUUUAGAAUUUUAUUUUUAAGUUAAAAAGCUUAAAUAAAAUUAAAAGACGAGAAGACCCUAUAGAGUUUUAUAAAAAUUUUUAUUAUUAUUAUUUAGAAUUAAUUAUUUAAUAAAAAUUUUUAUUUAAUUGGGGUGAUUAAAAAAUAUAUUAAACUUUUUUUUUAAAAAUACAUUAAUUUAUGAAUAAUUGAUCCUUAAUUUAAGAUUAAAAGAAAAAAUUACCUUAGGGAUAACAGCGUAAUUUUUUUUGAGAGUUCAAAUCGAAAAAAAAGGUUGCGACCUCGAUGUUGGAUUAAAAUUAAUUUUUGGUGUAGAAGCUAAAAGUGGGGGGUCUGUUCGACCCUUAAAAUUUUACAUGAUCUGAGUUUAAACCGGUGUGAGCCAGGUUGGUUUCUAUCUUUAAUAAAUAUAAUAUUUUAGUACGAAAGGACCAAAUAUUAAAUUUAAAAUUUUUAAAUAGAUAAAUAUUAAAU